Molecule: ribosomal RNA, 701 nt
Filed under: Rahnella sp. 100-p8_C1
Lineage: Bacteria; Pseudomonadati; Pseudomonadota; Gammaproteobacteria; Enterobacterales; Yersiniaceae
Description: bacterial SSU rRNA
Rfam family: Bacterial small subunit ribosomal RNA
Source: RNAcentral
CUUGCUACUUUGCCGGCGAGCGGCGGACGGGUGAGUAAUGUCUGGGAAACUGCCUGAUGGAGGGGGAUAACUACUGGAAACGGUAGCUAAUACCGCAUGACCUCGCAAGAGCAAAGUGGGGGACCUUCGGGCCUCACGCCAUCGGAUGUGCCCAGAUGGGAUUAGCUAGUAGGUGAGGUAAUGGCUCACCUAGGCGACGAUCCCUAGCUGGUCUGAGAGGAUGACCAGCCACACUGGAACUGAGACACGGUCCAGACUCCUACGGGAGGCAGCAGUGGGGAAUAUUGCACAAUGGGCGCAAGCCUGAUGCAGCCAUGCCGCGUGUGUGAAGAAGGCCUUAGGGUUGUAAAGCACUUUCAGCGAGGAGGAAGGGUUCAGUGUUAAUAGCACUGUGCAUUGACGUUACUCGCAGAAGAAGCACCGGCUAACUCCGUGCCAGCAGCCGCGGUAAUACGGAGGGUGCAAGCGUUAAUCGGAAUUACUGGGCGUAAAGCGCACGCAGGCGGUUUGUUAAGUCAGAUGUGAAAUCCCCGAGCUUAACUUGGGAACUGCAUUUGAAACUGGCAAGCUAGAGUCUUGUAGAGGGGGGUAGAAUUCCAGGUGUAGCGGUGAAAUGCGUAGAGAUCUGGAGGAAUACCGGUGGCGAAGGCGGCCCCCUGGACAAAGACUGACGCUCAGGUGCGAAAGCGUGGGGAGCAAAC